RNAcentral lists this non-coding RNA (30 nucleotides) under Homo sapiens (human). Lineage: Eukaryota; Metazoa; Chordata; Mammalia; Primates; Hominidae. The record is from RNAcentral.
UACCGAUGCAUUCUGGCCAGGUGUGUCCCA